CCUACGGGGGCAGCAGUGGGGAAUAAUGCACAAUGGGGGGAACCCUGAUGCUGCGACGCCGCGUGAGCGAUGAAGUAUUUCGGUAUGUAAAGCUCUAUCAGCAGGGAAGAAAAUGACGGUACCUGACUAAGAAGCCCAGGCUAACUACGUGCAAGCAGCCGCGGGAAUACGGAGGGGGCAAGCGUUAUCCGGAUUUACUGGGUGUAAAGGGAGCGUAGACGGGGGUGCAAGCCAGAUGUGAAAGCCUGGGGCUCAACCCCGGGACUGCAUUUGGAACUGUGCUGCUAGAGUGUCGGAGAGGCAGGCGGAAUUCCUAGUGUAGCGGUGAAAUGCGUAGAUAUUAGGAGGAACACCAGUGGCGAAGGCAGCCUGCUGGACGAUGACUGACGUUGAGGCUCGAAAGCGUGGGGAGCAAACAGGAUUAGAUACCCUUGUAGUC
This 439-nucleotide ribosomal RNA is filed under the name uncultured bacterium. RNAcentral's name for it is "partial 16S ribosomal RNA". It matches the Rfam family "Bacterial small subunit ribosomal RNA", at positions 338 to 795 of the family's 1533-position model. The record is from RNAcentral.